GAUGAACGCUGGCGGCGUGCCUAAUACAUGCAAGUAGAACGCUGAAGGAAGGAGCUUGCUCUUUCCGGAUGAGUUGCGAACGGGUGAGUAACGCGUAGGUAACCUGCCUGGUAGCGGGGGAUAACUAUUGGAAACGAUAGCUAAUACCGCAUAACAGUAGAUGUUGCAUGAUAUCUACUUAAAAGGUGCAAUUGCACCACUACCAGAUGGACCUGCGUUGUAUUAGCUAGUUGGUGAGGUAACGGCUCGCCAAGGCGACGAUACAUAGCCGACCUGAGAGGGUGAUCGGCCACACUGGGACUGAGACACGGCCCAGACUCCUACGGGAGGCAGCAGUAGGGAAUCUUCGGCAAUGGACGGAAGUCUGACCGAGCAACGCCGCGUGAGUGAAGAAGGUUUUCGAAUCGUAAAGCUCUGUUGUAAGAGAAGAACGAGUGUGAGAGUGGAAAGUUCACACUGUGACGGUAUCUUACCAGAAAGGGACGGCUAACUACGUG
RNAcentral lists this ribosomal RNA (497 nucleotides) under uncultured bacterium. Its description in RNAcentral is "partial 16S ribosomal RNA". It matches the Rfam family "Bacterial small subunit ribosomal RNA", at positions 28 to 507 of the family's 1533-position model. The record is from RNAcentral.